CCUACGGGUGGCAGCAGUGAGGAAUAUUGGUCAAUGGGCGCAAGCCUGAACCAGCCAAGUCGCGUGAGGGAUGACGGUCCUAUGGAUUGUAAACCUCUUUUGUCGGGGAGCAAGGCCCGCCACGUGUGGCGGGAAAGAGAGUACCCGAAGAAAAAGCAUCGGCCAACGCCGCGCCAUCAGCCGCGGUAAUACGGAGGAUCCGAGAGUUAUCCGGAUUUAUUAGGUUUAAAGGGAGCGUAGGUGGAUUGUUAAGUCAGUUGUGAAAGUUUGCGGCUCAACCGUAAAAUUGCAGUUGAAACUGGCAGUCGUGAGGACAGUAGAGGUGGGCGGAAUUCGUGGUGUAGCGGUGAAAUGCUUAGAUAUCACGAAGAACUCCGAUUGCGAAGGCAGUUCACUGGACUGCAACUGACACUGAGGCUCGAAAGUGUGGGUAUCAAACAGGAUUAGAUACCCCUGUAGUC
This 461-nucleotide ribosomal RNA is filed under the name uncultured bacterium. RNAcentral describes it as "partial 16S ribosomal RNA". It matches the Rfam family "Bacterial small subunit ribosomal RNA", at positions 338 to 795 of the family's 1533-position model. The record is from RNAcentral.